GACGAACGCUGGCGGCGUGCUUAACACAUGCAAGUCGAACGGAAAGGCCCUGCUUUUGUCGGGUGCUCGAGUGGCGAACGGGUGAGUAACACGUGAGUAACCUGCCCUUGACUUUGGGAUAACUUCAGGAAACUGGGGCUAAUACCGGAUAGGAGCCCCUGCUGCAUGGUGGGGGUUGGAAAGUUUCGGCGGUUGGGGAUGGACUCGCGGCUUAUCAGCUUGUUGGUGGGGUAGUGGCUUACCAAGGCUUUGACGGGUAGCCGGCCUGAGAGGGUGACCGGCCACAUUGGGACUGAGAUACGGCCCAGACUCCUACGGGAGGCAGCAGUGGGGAAUAUUGCACAAUGGGCGGAAGCCUGAUGCAGCAACGCCGCGUGCGGGAUGACGGCCUUCGGGUUGUAAACCGCUUUCGCCUGUGACGAAGCGUGAGUGACGGUAAUGGGUAAAGAAGCACCGGCUAACUACGUG
Molecule: ribosomal RNA, 468 nt
Filed under: uncultured bacterium
Lineage: Bacteria
Description: partial 16S ribosomal RNA
Rfam family: Bacterial small subunit ribosomal RNA
Source: RNAcentral